RNAcentral lists this ribosomal RNA (428 nucleotides) under Reticulitermes flavipes (eastern subterranean termite). RNAcentral describes it as "partial 16S ribosomal RNA". It matches the Rfam family "Archaeal large subunit ribosomal RNA", at positions 1889 to 2554 of the family's 2987-position model. Lineage: Eukaryota; Metazoa; Arthropoda; Insecta; Blattodea; Rhinotermitidae. The record is from RNAcentral.
CGCCUGUUUAUCAAAAACAUCUCUUCUCGUUAGUUUUUGAAGUAUGGCCUGCCCACUGACCUUGAAUGUUGAAGGGCCGCGGUAUUUUGACCGUGCAAAGGUAGCAUAGUCAUUAGUUCUUUAAUUGUGAUCUGGUAUGAAUGGCUUGACGAGGCAUAAGCUGUCUUAAUUUUGAAUUGUUUAUUGAAUUUGGUCUUUGAGUUAAAAUUCUUAGAUGUUUUUAUGGGACGAGAAGACCCUAUAGAGUUUGACAUUUAUUAUGGUCUCUUUCUGUUUGUGAGGGUUCAUUAGGGCUGUUUAAUAUGUUUUGUUGGGGUGAUGGGAGGGAUAUUAUUUAACCCCUCCUUUGUGUUGUUAUAUUUAUUUAUAUUUGCUUGAUCCAUUUAUUUUGAUUGUAAGAUUAAAUUACCUUAGGGAUAACAGCGUAA